RNAcentral lists this ribosomal RNA (2827 nucleotides) under human metagenome. Its description in RNAcentral is "bacterial LSU rRNA". It matches the Rfam family "Bacterial large subunit ribosomal RNA". The record is from RNAcentral.
UCAAGCUAAUAAGAGCGCAGGGAGGAUGCCUUGGCAUUGGGAGCCGAUGAAGGACGUGGUAAGCUGCGAAAAGCUGCGGGGAAUUGCAAGCAAGUAUUGAUCCGCAGAUGUCCGAAUGGAGCAAUCCGUUAAGAGUAAUAUCUUAACAUCAUAUACUGAAUCAAUAGGUAUAUGAGGGGAACCGCCUGAACUGAAACAUCUAAGUAGGGCGAGGAAAAGAAAUCAACCGAGAUUCCGAAAGUAGUGGCGAGCGAAAUCGGAAGAGGCUAAACCGAACUCAGAAAUGAGAUCGGGGUUUAGGACUGCAUUUAGUAUUGAAAUGAGCGAGCAGAAUGCUUUGGGAAAAGCAGCCGAAGAACGUGAGAGCCGUGUAAGCGAAGUGAGUUUCAGCGAGCAGUAUCCAAAGUACCGCGGGGCACGUGAAAUCCCGUGGGAAGAUGGGGGGACCACCCUCCAAGCCUAAAUACUACCCAAUGACCGAUAGCGAAUAGUACUGUGAAGGAAAGGUGAAAAGCACCCCGGGAGGGGAGUGAAAAAGAACCUGAAACCCUGUGCUUACAAGCACUGAGAGCUCGUCAAAGAGUGAUCAGGUACCUAUUGUAGAAUGGUCCGGCGAGUUAUGAUAUGCAGCAAGGUUAAGUACUUAAGGUACGGAGCCGCAGCGAGAGCGAGUCUGAAUAGGGCGUAAAGUUGUAUGUCAUAGACCCGAAACCGAGUGACCUAGCCAUGUCCAGGCUGAAGUGGAGGUAAAACUCCAUGGAGGGCCGAACCGACCUCCGUUGAAAAGGCGGCGGAUGAGGUGUGGCUAGCGGAGAAAUUCCAAUCGAACUCGGAUAUAGCUGGUUCUCUCCGAAAUAGCUUUAGGGCUAGCGUUGCAACAGAUUACCGGAGGUAAAGCACUGAAUAGGCUAGGGGGCGAGAGCUUACUGAACCUUAUCAAACUAAGAAUGCCGGAUAAUUGAUUUGCAGCAGUCAGACAGUGUGAGAUAAGUUUCAUUGUCAAAAGGGAAACAGCCCAGACCCACAGCUAAGGUCCCAAAGUACAUUUGAGUGGAAAAGGAUGUGGGGUUGCAUAGACAACCGGGAUGUUGGCUUAGAAGCAGCCAUACAUUAAAAGAGUGCGUAAUAGCUCACCGGUCGAGUGACCCUGCGCCGAAAAUUCAACGGGGCUAAAAUGUACACCGAAGCUUGGGAUUGUACUUUGUACAGUGGUAGGAGAGCGUCGUAUGAGAGGAGAAGUCAGAGCGGAAGCGCUGGUGGAUUUCAUACGAGUGAGAAUGCCGGAAUGAGUAGCGAGAAUUAUGUGAGAAUCAUAAUGGCCGAAAGUCUAAGGUUUUGGAAGGAAGGUUCGUCCGCUUCCAGUAAGCCGGGAGCUAAGGUGAGGCCGAAAGGCGUAGCCGAUGCACAUACGGUUGAAAUUCCGUAGCCUCCGAAGUAUUUAAACAGAAGGACACUUGAGAAGUGAUGAUGCCGGGCGAUGGUUGACCCGGUCGUAAGGGACCGAAAUUUAGUAGGGAAGUCAUCAUGGAUUGAGGCGAGAAAAGUUCUGUGAAUAUACAAGGAGCCCGUACCGCAAACCGACACAGGUAGAUAGGAAGAAAAUUCUAAGGCCAACGGGAGAAGGGUUGUUAAGGAACUCGGCAAGUUGACCCCGUAACUUCGGAAUAAGGGGUGCUCUCGAGAGAGAGCCGCAGAGAAUAGGCCCAGGCGACUGUUUAGCAAAAACACAGCUCUAUGCUAAAUCGAAAGAUGAUGUAUAUGGGGUGACACCUGCCCGGUGCCGGAAGGUUAAGAGGAGGCGUGAGAGCGCUGAAUUGAAGCCCCGGUAAACGGCGGCCGUAACUAUAACGGUCCUAAGGUAGCGAAAUUCCUUGUCAGGUAAGUUCUGACCCGCACGAAUGGUGUAACGAUCUGGGCACUGUCUCAACAACCCGCCCGGCGAAAUUGUAGUACCGGUGAAGAUGCCGGUUACCCGCGACUAGACGGAAAGACCCCAUGGAGCUUUACUGCAGCUUAAUGUUGAAUUUCGGUAUUUCAUGUACAGGAUAGGUGGGAGACUGGGAACUACAGGCGUCAGCUUGUGGGGAGUCACUGUUGGGAUACCACUCUUGAAGUGCUGGAAUUCUAACCUGCGGCCUUGAAUCAGGUCGGGGGACAUCGUUAGGCGGGCAGUUUGACUGGGGCGGUCGCCUCCAAAAGAGUAACGGAGGCGCUCAAAGGUCAGCUCAGCAUGGAUGGAAACCAUGCAAGUGAGUGCAAACGCAAAAGCUGGCCUAACUGCGAGACUGACGGGUCGAGCAGUAACGAAAGUUGGAGUUAGUGAUCCGGCGGUAUGUGAGUGGAAAUGCCGUCGCUCAACGGAUAAAAGCUACCCUGGGGAUAACAGGCUGAUCUCCCCCAAGAGUCCACAUCGACGGGGAGGUUUGGCACCUCGAUGUCGGCUCAUCGCAUCCUGGGGCUGAAUUCGGUCCCAAGGGUUUGGCUGUUCGCCAAUUAAAGCGGUACGCGAGCUGGGUUCAGAACGUCGUGAGACAGUUCGGUCCCUAUCUGUCGUGGGCGAAGGAUAUUUGAAAGGAGCUGUCCCUAGUACGAGAGGACCGGGAUGGACGCACCUCUGGUGCACCGGUUGUCGUGCCAACGGCACAGCCGGGCAGCUAAGUGCGGAACGGAUAAACGCUGAAGGCAUCUAAGCGUGAAACCGCCCUUAAGAUAAGAUAUCCCAUCGAAAGAGUAAGACCCCUCAAAGACUAUGAGGUUGAUAGGCCUAUGGUGUAAGCAUGGUGACAUGUUCAGCCUGCAGGUACUAAUCGGUCGAGGGCUUGACCUU